UGCAAGUCGAACGAUGAACCACCUUCGGGUGGGGAUUAGUGGCGAACGGGUGAGUAACACGUGGGCAAUCUGCCCUGCACUCUGGGACAAGCCCUGGAAACGGGGUCUAAUACCGGAUACUGAUCCUCGCAGGCAUCUGCGAGGUUCGAAAGCUCCGGCGGUGCAGGAUGAGCCCGCGGCCUAUCAGCUAGUUGGUGAGGUAAUGGCUCACCAAGGCGACGACGGGUAGCCGGCCUGAGAGGGCGACCGGCCACACUGGGACUGAGACACGGCCCAGACUCCUACGGGAGGCAGCAGUGGGGAAUAUUGCACAAUGGGCGAAAGCCUGAUGCAGCGACGCCGCGUGAGGGAUGACGGCCUUCGGGUUGUAAACCUCUUUCAGCAGGGAAGAAGCGAAAGUGACGGUACCUGCAGAAGAAGCGCCGGCUAACUACGUGCCAGCAGCCGCGGUAAUACGUAGGGCGCAAGCGUUGUCCGGAAUUAUUGGGCGUAAAGAGCUCGUAGGCGGCUUGUCACGUCGGUUGUGAAAGCCCGGGGCUUAACCCCGGGUCUGCAGUCGAUACGGGCAGGCUAGAGUUCGGUAGGGGAGAUCGGAAUUCCUGGUGUAGCGGUGAAAUGCGCAGAUAUCAGGAGGAACACCGGUGGCGAAGGCGGAUCUCUGGGCCGAUACUGACGCUGAGGAGCGAAAGCGUGGGGAGCGAACAGGAUUAGAUACCCUGGUAGUCCACGCCGUAAACGGUGGGCACUAGGUGUGGGCAACAUUCCACGUUGUCCGUGCCGCAGCUAACGCAUUAAGUGCCCCGCCUGGGGAGUACGGCCGCAAGGCUAAAACUCAAGGGAAUUGACGGGGGCCCGCACAAGCGGCGGAGCAUGUGGCUUAAUUCGACGCAACGCGAGAACCUUACCAAGGCUUG
This 914-nucleotide ribosomal RNA is filed under the name Streptomyces mutabilis. Its description in RNAcentral is "bacterial SSU rRNA". It matches the Rfam family "Bacterial small subunit ribosomal RNA", at positions 56 to 983 of the family's 1533-position model. The record is from RNAcentral. Lineage: Bacteria; Bacillati; Actinomycetota; Actinomycetes; Kitasatosporales; Streptomycetaceae.